This 497-nucleotide ribosomal RNA is filed under the name uncultured bacterium. Its description in RNAcentral is "partial 16S ribosomal RNA". It matches the Rfam family "Bacterial small subunit ribosomal RNA", at positions 28 to 507 of the family's 1533-position model. The record is from RNAcentral.
GAUGAACGCUGGCGGCGUGCCUAAUACAUGCAAGUCGAGCGAACAGACGAGGAGCUGGGUCUUCUGACGUUAGCGGCGGACGGGUGAGUAAUACGUAGAUAACCUUUCUCUAAGGCUGGGCUAAAGUAGGGAAACCGGAAUUAAGACUGGAAGAUAUAUCGAACUGCAGGGGUCAGUAGUGAAAGAGGGGUUUGCGGUGGAUUCGAGAUGGAUCCGCGCGGCAUUGGCUGGGUGGUAGGGUAACGGCUUACCAAGGCAACGAUGCGUAGCCGACCUCGGCGCGUGAUCGGCCCCACUGGAGCUGAGACGCGGUCCAGGCUCCUACGGGAGGCCGCGAUAGCUAAUCUUCGGAAAUGGGCGAAAGCCUGACCGAGCGACGCCGCCUGAGUGCUGCAGGUCUUCGGAUCGUAUGACUCUGUUCUUGGUGAAGACCAAAUUUGUACGUGACUAUGCUCGUCUUGACGGUACCUAGUCAGAAAGCCCCGGCUAACUACGUG